Molecule: long non-coding RNA, 500 nt
Organism: Lolium rigidum
Lineage: Eukaryota; Viridiplantae; Streptophyta; Magnoliopsida; Poales; Poaceae
Exons: 3
Source: RefSeq, a predicted model, not a curated record
CCAAGGACAGGAUCUAGAUGGGAUGGGUGGAGUUGGUGUUGGCGGCGGAUUCAUUUAUUCUUCUUUUUUAUACUAAAGCGAUCUUGCUGCUUGGGAACAAGGCUGAUUUGUUGCUCCACUCCUUGGCUCUUCAUGUCGGCUCUUUGUUUGUGAUCAGUAAAAUGUAUACUGCUGGAGAACAUCGGCCGAAACAUAUUAUGUUAUUGCAGGCUGAUCAGAUGGGCUUCCACAAUAAGGAUGGCAAUUAUCCUAAGAAGAGCAAGCUCCUAGCCAAUGUUGGCGACAUGGCCUCAGUAUCCGCAAGUUCCAAAUCUUGGCUAUGCCGAGCAAGAAGCCGCUGGCUGGAAAUAAGGGAGGUUAGUUCCAUGCAUGUUUAGUGACUUACAACCGUCUAUGAAAGGGGCCAAUCCAUCUAGGUGUUGUCGCACGCUCCUUUUGCCAUACAUGCCUUUUAUAUGUCUGCGAAUUAUGCAUAUGGUCAUGUCUAAAUGGUGAUGGGU